Molecule: ribosomal RNA, 253 nt
Filed under: uncultured bacterium
Lineage: Bacteria
Description: partial 16S ribosomal RNA
Rfam family: Bacterial small subunit ribosomal RNA
Source: RNAcentral
UACGUAGGGUGCGAGCGUUAAUCGGAAUUACUGGGCGUAAAGCGUGCGCAGGCGGUUCGUUAUGUCCGAUGUGAAAGCCCCGAGCUCAACUUGGGAAUGGCAUUGGAAACUGGCGGGCUGGAGUGUGGCGGAGGGGGGUGGAAUUCCACGUGUAGCAGUGAAAUGCGUAGAGAUGUGGAGGAACACCGAUGGCGAAGGCGGGACUCUGGGCCGAUACUGACGCUGAGACGCGAAAGCGUGGGGAGCGAACAGG